This 167-nucleotide ribosomal RNA is filed under the name uncultured bacterium. Its description in RNAcentral is "partial 16S rRNA". It matches the Rfam family "Bacterial small subunit ribosomal RNA", at positions 355 to 514 of the family's 1533-position model. The record is from RNAcentral.
UAGGGAAUCUUCCACAAUGGGCGAAAGCCUGAUGGAGCAACGCCGCGUGUGUGAUGAAGGGUUUCGGCUCGUAAAACACUGUUGUAAGAGAAGAAUGACAUUGAGAGUAACUGUUCAAUGUGUGACGGUAUCUUACCAGAAAGGAACGGCUAAAUACGUGCCACCAG